RNAcentral lists this ribosomal RNA (253 nucleotides) under uncultured bacterium. Its description in RNAcentral is "partial 16S ribosomal RNA". It matches the Rfam family "Bacterial small subunit ribosomal RNA", at positions 524 to 775 of the family's 1533-position model. The record is from RNAcentral.
UACGUAGGGUGCAAGCGUUUGUCCGGAAUUAUUGGGCGUAAAGAGCUCGUAGGCGGUCUGUUGCGUCGGCUGUGAAAACCCGGGGCUCAACCCCGGGCCUGCAGCCGAUACGGGCAGACUAGAGUUCGGCAGGGGAGACUGGAAUUCCUGGUGUAGCGGUGAAAUGCGCAGAUAUCAGGAGGAACACCGGUGGCGAAGGCGGGUCUCUGGGCCGAUACUGACGCUGAGGAGCGAAAGCGUGGGGAGCGAACGG